This 382-nucleotide ribosomal RNA is filed under the name uncultured eukaryote. Its description in RNAcentral is "partial 18S ribosomal RNA". It matches the Rfam family "Eukaryotic small subunit ribosomal RNA", at positions 592 to 976 of the family's 1831-position model. The record is from RNAcentral.
CAAUAGCGUAUAUUAAAGUUGUUGCAGUUAAAAAGCUCGUAGUUGGAUUUCUGACAGGAACGGGCGGUCUACUCCGAAAGGAGUGCGUACUAGCUUGUUUCCGGUCAUCCUUGCGGAGAACGGCUCUGGCAUUAGGUUGUCGGGGUCGGGAUCCGCAUCGUUUACUGUGAAAAAAUUAGAGUGUUUAAAGCAGGCAGUUGCUUGAAUACAUUAGCAUGGAAUAAUAAGAUAGGACUUUGGUGCUAUUUUGUUGGUUUGCACACCAAGGUAAUGAUUAAUAGGGAUAGUUGGGGGUAUUCAUAUUUAAUUGUCAGAGGUGAAAUUCUUAGAUUUAUUAAAGAUGAACUUAUGCGAAAGCAUUUACCAAGGAUGUUUNCAUUAA